Non-coding RNA from Pelobates cultripes (western spadefoot toad), 148 nucleotides. The record is from the annotation of a GenBank genome assembly. NCBI's taxonomy places the organism in Eukaryota, Metazoa, Chordata, Amphibia, Anura, Pelobatidae.
ACACAUUCCAGCCAAUCAGCAGCAGAUCCUCCCUCCCAGGCCCUCCCAACUCCUGGACAGCAUCCAUUUUGAAGCUGCAUUCUUAGUGAGCUGUCCAGGAAGUGGGAGGGUCUGGGAGGGAGGGUCUGCUGCUGAUUUGCUGGAAUGU